RNAcentral lists this ribosomal RNA (361 nucleotides) under Burkholderia sp. LGI-P4RAC. RNAcentral's name for it is "bacterial SSU rRNA". It matches the Rfam family "Bacterial small subunit ribosomal RNA", at positions 1017 to 1377 of the family's 1533-position model. Lineage: Bacteria; Pseudomonadati; Pseudomonadota; Betaproteobacteria; Burkholderiales; Burkholderiaceae. The record is from RNAcentral.
UCGAACAGAGAACGGCGCCAGGUGCUUAAUGGCUGUCGCUCAGCUCGUGUCGUGAGAUGUUGGGUUAAGCUCCCGCAACGAGCGCNACCCUUGGUCCUUANUUGCUACGCAAGCAGCACUCUAAGCGAGACUGCCGGUGACAAACCGGAGGCAAGGUGGGGAUGACGUCAAGCUCCUCAUGGCCCUUAUGGGUAGGGCUUCACACGUCAUACAAUGGUCGGAACAGAGGGUUGCCAACCCGCGAGGGGGAGCUAAUCCCAGAUUACCGAUCGUAGUCCGGAUUGCACUCUGCAACUCGAGUGCAUGAAGCUGGAAUCGCUAGUAAUCGCGGAUCAGCAUGCCGCGGUGAAUACGUUCCCGG